Molecule: ribosomal RNA, 400 nt
Filed under: uncultured bacterium
Lineage: Bacteria
Description: bacterial SSU rRNA
Rfam family: Bacterial small subunit ribosomal RNA
Source: RNAcentral
GGGGAAUAUUGGACAAUGGGGGCAACCCUGAUCCAGCCAUGCCGCGUGAGUGAUGAAGGCCCUAGGGUUGUAAAGCUCUUUUACCUGGGAAGAUAAUGACUGUACCAGGAGAAUAAGCCCCGGCUAACUUCGUGCCAGCAGCCGCGGUAAUACGAAGGGGGCUAGCGUUGUUCGGAAUCACUGGGCGUAAAGCGCACGUAGGCGGAUCUUUAAGUCAGGGGUGAAAUCCCGGGGCUCAACCUCGGAACUGCCCUUGAUACUGGAGAUCUUGAGUUCGGAAGAGGUGAGUGGAACUGCGAGUGUAGAGGUGAAAUUCGUAGAUAUUCGCAAGAACACCAGUGGCGAAGGCGGCUCACUGGUCCGAUACUGACGCUGAGGUGCGAAAGCGUGGGGAGCAAAC